Molecule: long non-coding RNA, 2653 nt
Organism: Oncorhynchus keta (chum salmon)
Lineage: Eukaryota; Metazoa; Chordata; Actinopteri; Salmoniformes; Salmonidae
Exons: 4
Source: RefSeq, a predicted model, not a curated record
AACAAGAGAGAGAGGUUAGAGAGAGGUUAGUGUCUUAGAGAGAGGUUAGAGAGAGGUUAGAGAGGGGUUAGAGAGAGGUUAGUGUGUUAGAGAGAGGUUAGAGAGGUUAGAGAGAGGUUAGUGUGUUAGAGAGAGGUUUGAGAGAGGUUAGUGUGUUAGAGAGAGAUAAGAGAGAGCUAGUGAGAGGUUAGAGAGAUGUUUGUGUGUUAGAGAGAGUUUAGAGAGAGGUUAGUGUGUUAGAGAGAGGUUAGAGAGAGGUUAGAGGUUAGAGAGAGGUUAGAGAGAGGUUAUAAGUUAGAGAGAGGUUAGUGUGUUACAGAGAGAACUGUGUGUUAGAGAGAGGUUAGUGUGUUAGAGGUUAGUGUGUUAGAGAGAGGUUAGUGUGUUAGAGAGAAGUUAGUGUGUUAGAGAGAGGUUAGUGUGUUAGAGAGAGGUUAGUGUGUUAGAGAGAGGUUAGAGAGAGGUUUGUGUGUUAGAGAGAGGUUAGAGAGAGGUUAGUGUGUUAGAGAGAGAUUAGAGAGAGGUUAGUGUGUUAGAGAGAGAUUAGAGAGAGGUUAGUGUGUUAGAGAGAGAUUAGAGAGAGGUUAGUGUGUUAGAGAGAGAUUAGAGAGAGGUUAGUGUGUUAGAGAGAGAUUAGAGAGAGGUUAGUGUGUUAGAGAGAGAUUAGAGAGAGGUUAGUGUGUUAGAGAGAGGUUAGAGAGAGGUUAGUGUGUUAGAGAGAGAUUAGAGAGAGGUUAGUGUGUUAGAGAGAGAUUAGAGAGAGGUUAGUGUGUUAGAGAGAGAUUAGAGAGAGGUUAGUGUGUUAGAGAGAGAUUAGAGAGAGGUUAGUGUGUUAGAGAGAGAUUAGAGAGAGGUUAGUGUGUUUGAGAGAGUUGUGUUGGAGGUUAGUGUGUUUUUUAUUUGAUUUAUUAGGAUCCUCAUUAGUUGUCGCCAAUGGCGACAGCGAGUCUUACCUGGCUCCAACAUUAAACUAAAAAUACAUUACAGACACAAGACUACAAUUUACAUACAGUGCCAGUCCAAGUUUGGACACACAUUCAAGUGUUUUUCUUUUUUAAUUUUUGUACUAUUUUCUACAUUGUAGAAUAAUAGCGAAGACGUCAACACUAUGAAAUAACACAUAUGGAAUCAGGUAGUAACCAUAAAAGUGUUAAACACAUAAAAACAUCAUUUGUAUUUGAGAUUCUUCAAAGUAGCCACCCUUUGCCAUGAUGACAGCAUUACACACUUAAAUAAGCUUAAAUAAGCAAAGAUAAACGACAGUCCAUCAAGGCACACUUAAACAGCAUGGAUACCACAGCAUUCUGCAGCGAUAUGCCAUCCCAUCUGGUUUGUGCUUAGUGGCAUCAUCAGCAUACAUGGACCCACAUGCUUUUUUUAAUGCCAGUGGCAGAUCAUUGGUAAAAAUAGAAAAUAGUAGAGGGCCUAGAGAGCUGCCCUGUGGUACACCACACUUUCCAUGUUUGACAUUAGAGAAGCUUCCAUUAAUCCCUUAAGGUCGAUGUCCUCGGAAAUCUAAUUAGUAUAAUAAAUAAAAUCUGCAUUAAAAUCUUUCAAUUUAAGAUAGACACAGUAUCUGUUCUUUUUCAUUGGAUGUGACUCAAUCCACCAUAUCCGCCUAUGUCACACUUCUGCAUCUGUGGUGAAAUAGCUAGAGCGAUGUCUGUCAGACCAUGAGACAUCUGUGGUGAAAGAGCUAGAGCAAUGUCUGUCAGACCAUGAGACAUCCCAUCUGUGGUGAAAGGUGACAGAGCUAGAGCGAUGUCUGUCAGACCAUGAGACAUCUGUGGUGAAAGAGCUAGAGCAAUGUCUGUCAGACCAUGAGACAUCCCAUCUGUGGUGAAAGGUGACAGAGCUAGAGCGAUGUCUGUCAGACCAUGAGACAUCUGUGGUGAAAGAGCUAGAGCAAUGUCUGUCAGACCAUGAGACAUCUGUGGUGAAAUAGCUAGAGCGAUGUCUGUCAGACCAUGAGACAUCUGUGGUGAAAGAGCUAGAGCGAUGUCUGUCAGACCAUGAGACAUCUGUGGUGAAAGGUGACAGAGUUAGAGGGGUGGUUGUCAGAGUUAGAGGGGUGGUUGUCAGAGUUAGAGGGGUGGUUGUCAGACCGAAAAUUGGUCUUCUCACAAAAUUGUUUUUAGCUUCUGAACGGUUUGUCCUACAAAACUACUAAAAUAUUAACUACUGUGGAAACGUGAGACUCUCACAAACACGUACAUUUUGGUUGUUUUGCUCUAGGAUGCCCACAGGCCUGAAUGUCCCCAGGUACCAGUUGAAAGAACUAAUGGAAGUACAGUAUAUAUUGAGACUUUAGUAACAAAAAAUUAGGGGUUAAAUACAUCUAAAAAAAAAAAAUGUUUUCUGAUCUUUCUUAUAUCGCUCUGAUAAAGGACAGACAGAAUAAACUUCCUUUAGGAGUACUAUCUGUUGCUCCAUGUAGUGGUCUUCAAAAUCAAAUAGCAAAAUUAUCCCUGAUAGGACCUUUUUAAAACAAUUUCCAAUACCUUAGUAUAUAUCCACAUAGCAAGAGGUAGCUUUUGGGAGUCUCAAUCCGUUGGAAUGUUGUCAAGGAGGGCGGUGUGUAAGGCAUGAGCCGAAAGAGGAGGAAGUGGUACUCGAUAUACAAGCAGAGUGAUGUCCUUUACAUGUGUGUGUA